This 1002-nucleotide long non-coding RNA is filed under the name Rattus norvegicus (Norway rat). RNAcentral describes it as "long non-coding RNA NONRATT024279". Lineage: Eukaryota; Metazoa; Chordata; Mammalia; Rodentia; Muridae. The record is from RNAcentral.
UCAAUAAACGGUUUCCACUGAAGAGUCUCCUGGGCUGUCUGCUAGCCACACAAGAAAGAGAACAACAUGUGACUGAAGUGAUAUGGUUCUGGGGGCAGUUUAAGAACGGUCUAAUUUGUUCUUUUAAAAAAAGUUAUUUCUAAAGUUUUGUAUGUUAUUAUUGAUUAGCAGCCUUGUAACAUCAUAUUUACGACACACUAAAUAGGAGAUGUCCCCAAACCUGGGAAGGGUCCCAGAGCCCAGAGAAUGAGCCCUAUGCAUAACACUGUCUGACAGCCCCAGUUCACCCACAACCAUGAGGAAUUUGAGCUGUGGGGAGCAGGCUCUUCAGAAAAACAGCAUUCAAAACAGAGAUGUGAAGCAUUGCGAAGCUUGGACUCCAUCACCCUGGUCUCAGGAACCUUGCCCAGCAUGGACUUCGGUGGCAGACGAUGAUAAAGUUGUCCCAGGUGUGCCCUGCUCACCAGCUCCCUACUGUGUUGUUUUCUUCACUCAUGUAGCUGGGGGAAGUUUGACUGGAAGUCUCAGGAAUAAAUUUGGAUAUUUUUCCAUAUCGUAAGGGCAUGCGACAAUACAGCUUAUUAAUUUAGUGCAAAUGAGUAAUAUAGUCUAAUAUAAACCGUGUCAAAAUCAUGAAAACUUUUCUUUGUGUUCUAUCUAUCACUUAAAACAAAACACCUACUCCAUAAACAAAUGGGGGUAUUAUAGAUAUAAAGUAUUAUUCAGCAAGAUUUAUUCAAGGUCUUAAAUGAUUCAGGCAUUAAGAACAUAAAAGUACUCAAAAUCCUCUGUAAACCCCAUAUUCCCUAACCGCUGGUUUAUAAAAACAUUUGGGGUUAUAGAAUUAGUCUGGUUCUACUAGUUGAUCGUGUUACUAAAACUAAGUCAGAAAUUCCUUAUGUGUGUAUUUCCUGGCAAAUACGUGUCAUUUAUUUUAAAGAAUCUCCAAAUAAAAAGCCAAAUUGUUGGAAUGUACUUUGUCAUUAAAACAGAGUGAAAGCA